GACGAACGCUGGCGGCGUGCUUAACACAUGCAAGUCGAACGGAAAGGCCCUGCUUUUGUGGGGUGCUCGAGUGGCGAACGGGUGAGUAGCACGUGAGUAACCUGCCCUUGACUUUGGGAUAACUUCAGGAAACUGGGGCUAAUACCGGAUAGGAGCUCCUGCUGCAUGGUGGGGGUUGGAACGUUUCGGCGGUUGGGGAUGGACUCGCGGCUUAUCAGCUUGUUGGUUGGGUAGUGGCUUACCAAGGCUUUGACGGGUAGCCGGCCUGAGAGGGUGACCGGCCACAUUGGGACGGAGAUGAGGCCCAAAGUCAUACGGGAGGCAGCAGUGGGGAAUAUUGCACAAUGGGCGGAAGCCUGAUGCAGCAACGCCGCGUGCGGGAUGACGGCCGUCGGUUUGUAAACCGCUUUCGCCUGUGACGAAGCGUUAGUGACGGGAAUGGGUAAAGAAGCACCGGCUAACUACGUG
RNAcentral lists this ribosomal RNA (468 nucleotides) under uncultured bacterium. RNAcentral describes it as "partial 16S ribosomal RNA". It matches the Rfam family "Bacterial small subunit ribosomal RNA", at positions 28 to 507 of the family's 1533-position model. The record is from RNAcentral.